This 1269-nucleotide ribosomal RNA is filed under the name Arthrobacter sp. RNAcentral's name for it is "bacterial SSU rRNA". It matches the Rfam family "Bacterial small subunit ribosomal RNA", at positions 74 to 1353 of the family's 1533-position model. The record is from RNAcentral. Lineage: Bacteria; Bacillati; Actinomycetota; Actinomycetes; Micrococcales; Micrococcaceae.
CCCAGCUUGCUGGGGGAUUAGUGGCGAACGGGUGAGUAACACGUGAGUAACCUGCCCUUGACUCUGGGAUAAGCCUGGGAAACUGGGUCUAAUACCGGAUAUGACUCCUCAUCGCAUGGUGGGGGGUGGAAAGCUUUUGUGGUUUUGGAUGGACUCGCGGCCUAUCAGCUUGUUGGUGGGGUAAUGGCCUACCAAGGCGACGACGGGUAGCCGGCCUGAGAGGGUGACCGGCCACACUGGGACUGAGACACGGCCCAGACUCCUACGGGAGGCAGCAGUGGGGAAUAUUGCACAAUGGGCGCAAGCCUGAUGCAGCGACGCCGCGUGAGGGAUGACGGCCUUCGGGUUGUAAACCUCUUUCAGUAGGGAAGAAGCGUAAGUGACGGUACCUGCAGAAGAAGCGCCGGCUAACUACGUGCCAGCAGCCGCGGUAAUACGUAGGGCGCAAGCGUUAUCCGGAAUUAUUGGGCGUAAAGAGCUCGUAGGCGGUUUGUCGCGUCUGCUGUGAAAGACCGGGGCUCAACUCCGGUUCUGCAGUGGGUACGGGCAGACUAGAGUGCAGUAGGGGAGACUGGAAUUCCUGGUGUAGCGGUGAAAUGCGCAGAUAUCAGGAGGAACACCGAUGGCGAAGGCAGGUCUCUGGGCUGUAACUGACGCUGAGGAGCGAAAGCAUGGGGAGCGAACAGGAUUAGAUACCCUGGUAGUCCAUGCCGUAAACGUUGGGCACUAGGUGUGGGGGACAUUCCACGUUUUCCGCGCCGUAGCUAACGCAUUAAGUGCCCCGCCUGGGGAGUACGGCCGCAAGGCUAAAACUCAAAGGAAUUGACGGGNGGCCCGCACAAGCGGCGGAGCAUGCNGGAUUAAUUCGAUGCAACGCGAAGAACCUUACCAAGGCUUGACAUGAACCGGUAAUGCCUGGRAACAGGUGCNCCCGCUUGCGGUCNGGUUUACAGGUGGUGCAUGGUUGUCGUCAGCUCGUGUCGUGAGAUGUUGGGUUAAGUCCCGCAACGAGCGCAACCCUCGUUCUAUGUUGCCAGCGCGUGAUGGCGGGGACUCAUAGGAGACUGCCGGGGUCAACUCGGAGGAAGGUGGGGACGACGUCAAAUCAUCAUGCCCCUUAUGUCUUGGGCUUCACGCAUGCUACAAUGGCCGGUACAAAGGGUUGCGAUACUGUGAGGUGGAGCUAAUCCCAAAAAGCCGGUCUCAGUUCGGAUUGGGGUCUGCAACUCGACCCCAUGAAGUCGGAGUCGCUAGUAAUCGCAGAUCAGC